This 453-nucleotide long non-coding RNA is filed under the name Anas platyrhynchos platyrhynchos (common mallard). RNAcentral describes it as "lncRNA (ENSAPLG00000027684.1)". The record is from RNAcentral. Lineage: Eukaryota; Metazoa; Chordata; Aves; Anseriformes; Anatidae.
ACCUGCUUUUCCCCAUAAGAUAGCUGCAUCUUAAUUUGACAGCUGCACCAGCUUUAGAGAAGGUCUGAAGUACAUCAGGUGUAACACCAGGUGUAAACCAUGCAGUAGGGAGCACCAAGGAAAGAUCUGCUGGACCAGGGACAACACGGCGCAGCACAGUGAAAAGAUCCUGGGAGGAGCACAGUGUACCCUGCCACCCUGAACUGGAACAGGGGCUGCAGAUGUCAUAACUGGUGGCUCCUCUGUUUGCUGGGACUGGAAACAGCCUGUGAUUUGGAAAGCUGUGGGAUGUGUGGAAGAAGCAGCUCACUCAAAUCCACAGAGCACAAUAAAAGUGGAAACAAGAAGCACCUGGGAGUUGCACCUGCCUGAGAGGAAGAACAACCUGGGACUGGUGCCCGAAUUCUACCUUACAAACUGGGCAAAGGACUCCCAAGUUACACCUGCAGUGUG